CCGGCACGGGUGAGUAACACGUAUGCAAUCCACCUGUAACAGGGGGAUAACCCGGAGAAAUCCGGACUAAUACCCAUAAUAUGGGCGCUCCGCAUGGAGAGCCCAUUAAAGAGAGCAAUUUUGGUUACAGACGAGCAUGCGCUCCAUUAGCCAGUUGGCGGGGUAACGGCCCACCAAAGCGACGAUGGAUAGGGGUUCUGAGAGGAAGGUCCCCCACAUUGGAACUGAGACACGGUCCAA
RNAcentral lists this ribosomal RNA (240 nucleotides) under uncultured bacterium. Its description in RNAcentral is "partial 16S ribosomal RNA". It matches the Rfam family "Bacterial small subunit ribosomal RNA", at positions 100 to 334 of the family's 1533-position model. The record is from RNAcentral.